UGACAGGGAGACAGGUGGUGCAUGGUUGUCGUCAGCUCGUGUCGUGAGAUGUUGGGUUAAGUCCCGCAACGAGCGCAACCCCUACGUUUAGUUGCUAACGCGUGAAGGCGAGCACUCUAGACGAACUGCCGUUGACAAACGGAGGAAGGUGGGGAUGACGUCAAAUCAUCAUGCCCCUUAUGUUCUGGGCUACACACGUGCUACAAUGGCCGGUACAGACGGACGCAAAGCCGCGAGGUGGAGCAAAUCCUAAAAAGCCGGUCUCAGUUCGGAUUGCAGGCUGCAAUUCGCCUGCAUGAAGUCGGAAUCGCUAGUAAUCGCAGGUCAGCAUACUGCGGUGAAUACGUUCCCGGGUUUU
Molecule: ribosomal RNA, 358 nt
Filed under: uncultured Pelotomaculum sp.
Lineage: Bacteria; Bacillati; Bacillota; Clostridia; Eubacteriales; Desulfotomaculaceae
Description: bacterial SSU rRNA
Rfam family: Bacterial small subunit ribosomal RNA
Source: RNAcentral